RNAcentral lists this ribosomal RNA (254 nucleotides) under uncultured bacterium. Its description in RNAcentral is "partial 16S ribosomal RNA". It matches the Rfam family "Bacterial small subunit ribosomal RNA", at positions 524 to 776 of the family's 1533-position model. The record is from RNAcentral.
UACGUAGGGGGCAAGCGUUGUCCGGAAUCAUUGGGCGUAAAGAGCGUGUAGGCGGCUCGAUAAGUCCGCUGUGAAAGUCCAGGGCUCAACCCUGGAAGGCCGGUGGAAACUGUCGGGCUAGAGUCCGGAAGAGGCGAGUGGAAUUCCCGGUGUAGCGGUGAAAUGCGCAGAUAUCGGGAGGAACACCAAUGGCGAAGGCAGCUCGCUGGGACGGUACUGACGCUGAGUGAGCGAAAGCCAGGGGAGCAAACGGG